Molecule: ribosomal RNA, 465 nt
Filed under: Vreelandella stevensii
Lineage: Bacteria; Pseudomonadati; Pseudomonadota; Gammaproteobacteria; Oceanospirillales; Halomonadaceae
Description: partial 16S ribosomal RNA
Rfam family: Bacterial small subunit ribosomal RNA
Source: RNAcentral
CCUACGGGUGGCAGCAGUGGGGAAUAUUGGACAAUGGGGGCAACCCUGAUCCAGCCAUGCCGCGGGUGUGAAGAAGGCCCUCGGGUUGUAAAGCACUUUCAGUGAGGAAGAACGCCUGGUGGUUAAUACCCAUCAGGAAAGACAUCACUCACAGAAGAAGCACCGGCUAACUCCGUGCCAGCAGCCGCGGUAAUACGGAGGGUGCGAGCGUUAAUCGGAAUUACUGGGCGUAAAGCGCGCGUAGGUGGCUUGAUAAGCCGGUUGUGAAAGCCCCGGGCUCAACCUGGGAACGGCAUCCGGAACUGUCAAGCUAGAGUGCAGGAGAGGAAGGUAGAAUUCCCGGUGGAGCGGUGAAAUGCGUAGAGAUCGGGAGGAAUACCAGUGGCGAAGGCGGCCUUCUGGACUGACACUGACCCUGAGGUGCGAAAGCGUGGGUAGCAAACAGGAUUAGAUACCCUGGUAGUC